AUCCAGUUGAUGAGUCCGAAAUGGGACGAAACGCACGUCGAACUGAAU
Schistosoma mattheei is the source of this 48-nucleotide non-coding RNA. Lineage: Eukaryota; Metazoa; Platyhelminthes; Trematoda; Strigeidida; Schistosomatidae. The record is from Rfam.